CCUACGGGUCGCACCAGUGAGGAAUAGUGGUCAAUGGGCGCAAGCCUGAACCAGCCAUGCCGCGUGCAGGAUGACGGUCCUAUGGAUUGUAAAGCACUUUUAGUGGGGAUGAAAAGCACAUCACUAACACUGGUGUGUCUUGACCUAACCCAAAGAAAAAGCACCGGCUAACUCUGUGCCAGCAGCCGCGGUAAUACAGAGGGUGCGAGCGUUAAUCAGAAUUACUGGGCGUAAAGCGUGCGUAGACGGUUAUUUAAGUCGGGUGUGAAAGCCCCGGGCUCAACCUGGGAAUUGCAUUCGAGACUGAAUAGCUAGGGUACGGUAGAGGGAAGUGGAAUUUCCGGUGUAGCGGUGAAAUGCGUAGAUAUCGGAAGGAACAUCAGUGGCGAGAGCGACUUCCUGGACCAGUACCGACGUUCAGGCACGAAAGCGUGGGGAGCAAACAGGAUUAGAUACCCGAGUAGUC
RNAcentral lists this ribosomal RNA (466 nucleotides) under uncultured bacterium. RNAcentral's name for it is "bacterial SSU rRNA". It matches the Rfam family "Bacterial small subunit ribosomal RNA", at positions 338 to 795 of the family's 1533-position model. The record is from RNAcentral.